Molecule: non-coding RNA, 26 nt
Filed under: Macaca fascicularis (crab-eating macaque)
Lineage: Eukaryota; Metazoa; Chordata; Mammalia; Primates; Cercopithecidae
Also listed under: 1 other name
Source: RNAcentral
UGGAGCGGGUCCUGUUCUCUGGCACC